GUUCUUGUAGUAAAAUAAUUACAGUGGUUCUUCAAGUCAUAGAUUUUGGUUAAAGUCCGAGCAAGAAUU
RNAcentral lists this transfer RNA (69 nucleotides) under Rasbora beauforti. RNAcentral's name for it is "tRNA-Glu". It matches the Rfam family "tRNA". Rfam says of the family: Transfer RNA (tRNA) molecules are approximately 80 nucleotides in length. Their secondary structure includes four short double-helical elements and three loops (D, anti-codon, and T loops). Lineage: Eukaryota; Metazoa; Chordata; Actinopteri; Cypriniformes; Danionidae. The record is from RNAcentral.